RNAcentral lists this signal recognition particle RNA (96 nucleotides) under Candidatus Babelota bacterium. RNAcentral's name for it is "Candidatus Dependentiae bacterium signal recognition particle sRNA small type". It matches the Rfam family "Bacterial small signal recognition particle RNA". Rfam says of the family: The signal recognition particle (SRP) is a universally conserved ribonucleoprotein involved in the co-translational targeting of proteins to membranes. Archaeal SRP consists of a 7S RNA and homologues of the eukaryotic SRP19 and SRP54 proteins. In most bacteria, the SRP consists of a 4.5S RNA and the Ffh protein (a homologue of the eukaryotic SRP54 protein). The record is from RNAcentral.
UUAGGGGAAGUAGAUAAGGGAUGCGGUGCUCAUUCUGUCAGGUCCGAAAGGAAGCAGCAGAAGCGUUGUUAUCCUUGUAUGUACUUCCUCUUUAUU